UGACAUUUUAAUUCCAGUAGCCUGAAACCAUCUUCCCAUUUUUAUCGAACAAAGUUUCACGAAUGUAAAUGUGAAUUUUACUCUUUAAUUCUAUGUUGGUUGCUGUACUACGGGUUUGUUGUUCAAGUGCCAAUGCUUUCAGUGGUUUUAUAUUCUGAAUAAGCACAUCAACACGUAUACACGAUAGUUAAGCCAAGGAUUUGUUCAAUGCUACUGUGGUAUGGUGGUGUAUGCGUACGCGCCUGCAGAAUUGAUAGCUUAGCAGCGUAUAUAAAGAUGCCCAGCGCUGUGUUCAUGUAAACAUAUCAAUACUAUUUGCAGAGGCGUUUGCAGCAAGCGCGUAGUCUCCAACAACAUACACAAACAGAAGCUUAACAAAAGACAAGCCUUGUAUUCUGUCGUAAUUGGUCCCUUUUAUAAUCUGCGUAGUGAUUCACAGUGCUAAAGCAAUCGACUGGCCCCAAUAAUAGAAAGUGAUCAUAUACGAGGUCAAAUACAGUGCGUGUGAGUAACAUUUAGUUGGAAGCAGCAGCAAGUGUCAUAUAAACAAUAUUAGCUGUUUUGCCGCCUCUGUGCGAAAAGCGAAUCGAAUAUUGGCAAAAUGAAAGCUGUGACGGUCAAUUGUGCUACGGGUGCUUCAGUCCCGGCCUCGGUCGCAAGUGGCCGUGUGCGCCAACGGCAUCGGAAGUGCGAAAACGACCCCGAAAUUCAAGUGUAUCUGGCAAAGUUUAAAGACUUGGUACCUUUGAUGGGUCAACAGAAGCGUAAGCUGUCCAAGCUUGAGGUGAUCCAAAACGUGAUUAACUACAUCAGCGAGCUACAGAAUACUUUGGCCGACGCAGACCUUUCUACAGCUGCCGAUUCACGAGGAAUUGUUUGCAAUAAGAAAACCUUUGACUAGGUGCGGCGAUUUGGCCAGCCGCAGCAACGUUUGAGCAGAUCGAUGGUAACGCGAUGUCUUUAUGUUUACUUUCUUCAACUAACACCCAUUCGAAGGACUACUCUUCAAUGUUCGGGGCAAUGCGCGCAAACACGCAAGAGGAAUAAUUAACCAGAUCUCAGUAAGUGACCGAAUACUGUUUGUAUUGGAUUGAUAGCUAUCACCGUAGCAGGGACGAAAUAGCCAGCAUAUAUGGGCAAGCAUAUGCAUUUUAAAAAUCUACCGGGAAUGAAGGAGCAAUCUUAUAACAAACCUCAUAACUAUGCUGUGAUCAAUAGGAAUAUGUGUUGUUUAUUUGCAUAUGCAUGAUUUGAACAUAGUUUACUGAAAUUCAGGAAUAGGAAGUGAAGAGAAAAACUUCCAUUUCAACAAAUAAUACAAUAUUGUUUUACUCUGUUUCCUAGUACUUCGAUUCAACUAUACUUACACCGGUCUCUAAAGUAUUUACGAUUAGAAUUUUCAGUUUUUCAUUCUAGUUUUUUUCACCUAUUGAAAGUAUAGUACAGCGGACGGGGAAUAUGAAAAAUAUAUAUAUAGUAACUAAACACACUAAACUGUCAGUACAAUGUUACGGAAGUGCAGUCAUUUUAGGAGGAAUUUAAAUGUGUAGUAUGAAAUAAAUCUUACUCUGAGUUUACGAAACCUACGCGACAAAA
Anopheles stephensi (Asian malaria mosquito) is the source of this 1596-nucleotide long non-coding RNA. RefSeq lists it as uncharacterized. The record is from RefSeq and is a predicted model, not a curated record. The transcript is spliced from 2 exons. NCBI's taxonomy places the organism in Eukaryota, Metazoa, Arthropoda, Insecta, Diptera, Culicidae.